UUCAGGUUCUAGUCAACGAAGUAUUUCUGG
Molecule: non-coding RNA, 30 nt
Filed under: Rattus norvegicus (Norway rat)
Lineage: Eukaryota; Metazoa; Chordata; Mammalia; Rodentia; Muridae
Source: RNAcentral